Molecule: ribosomal RNA, 254 nt
Filed under: uncultured bacterium
Lineage: Bacteria
Description: partial 16S ribosomal RNA
Rfam family: Bacterial small subunit ribosomal RNA
Source: RNAcentral
UACGUAGGGUGCGAGCGUUGUCCGGAAUUAUUGGGCGUAAAGAGCUCGUAGGCGGUGUGUCACGUCGGCCGUGAAAACCUGCAGCUUAACUGUGGGCGUGCGGUCGAUACGGGCAUCACUGGAGUGCGGCAGGGGAGACUGGAAUUCCUGGUGUAGCGGUGAAAUGCGCAGAUAUCAGGAGGAACACCGGUGGCGAAGGCGGGUCUCUGGGCCGAUACUGACGCUGAGGAGCGAAAGCGUGGGGAGCAAACAGG